UGGAUACCAGAACAUUAUAAAUUUUUUUUUUUUUUACAUUAUUCCUUUUGCUUUUUGCUUACCAUUUUCUUCCCAUGGCACUGAAGUGGAAUAUCCCAAGUGCCACCGAACUCAGAGAAUUCCACGCCGGAAUGGGGGUGGCAUCCUGUUAUUACAGAAAUAUCUUUCAUAAAUUAUGAUUUUUUUUUUCAACAAAUGGAAGUAAUGCAACACCUAUUUGGUAUACUCAUCAUAUACGUUAAAUCUAACAAUGGCAUAUAAUUGAUAACAUCAGCAGGUAAGGUCAUUCUCCCUUCUUUUGCACUUUCUGAUUUGAAAUGGAUCUGGAUAUCUCUGGAAUUUGGCAUUGAUGGUAAUCUAGAGCUGUAAACCUGAGAUUAUAAAGCAAACACACUUGCCUACUGAGAAGCUUCAACUCACUACUACAGAACAGAUUUAGUUACUUAGAAGCAAGAAAUAAGGUGAUUCAAGUGAUUUAUAGGCUGUAUCAUCUCUCAUUUAGCAACAUUUUGGAAGUGCCAAUGAAUUAUUUUAGGAACAAAUUGUCUAAUAUAAAAUUUAUUAACCAAAAUGCAUCGGCUG
This 582-nucleotide long non-coding RNA is filed under the name Macaca mulatta (Rhesus monkey). RNAcentral describes it as "lncRNA (ENSMMUG00000056421.1)". Lineage: Eukaryota; Metazoa; Chordata; Mammalia; Primates; Cercopithecidae. The record is from RNAcentral.